AGGGAUCCCCUCAGUAGCGGCGAGCGAAGCGGGAAAAGCUCAAGUUUGAAAUCCGAGUUCACUCGGAGUUGUAAGCUGGAGAGGUGCCUGCCGGCGUGGCCUGGGCUCAAUUUCCUUGGAACAGGAGGUCAUUGAGGGUGAGAACCCCGUUCAUGGCUCCGGUCCCCACGUCCUAGUGCGGCUUCCUCCAAGAGUCGGGUUGUUUGGGAAUGCAGCUCAAAAUGGGUGGUAAAUUUCAUCUAAAGCUAAAUACUGGCAAGAGACCGAUAGCGAACAAGUAGAGUGAUCGAAAGAUGAAAAGUACUUUGAAAAGAGAGUGAAACAGUGCGUGAAAUUGUUGAAAGGGAAGCGCUUGGUAUCAG
Molecule: ribosomal RNA, 362 nt
Filed under: uncultured Archaeorhizomycetes
Lineage: Eukaryota; Fungi; Ascomycota; Archaeorhizomycetes
Description: eukaryotic LSU rRNA
Rfam family: Eukaryotic large subunit ribosomal RNA
Source: RNAcentral